Long non-coding RNA from Homo sapiens (human), 1122 nucleotides. RefSeq lists it as uncharacterized. The transcript has 5 exons. Lineage: Eukaryota; Metazoa; Chordata; Mammalia; Primates; Hominidae. The record is from RefSeq and is a predicted model, not a curated record.
AAUUUAUUUCAACAUUCAUUCCUAAAAACAGUUUAUUUGCUUUUCCGCAGGAAAAUUUGCAUUCUCCCUGUUGUGGAAAUAGGUGGGGAUUUCGGGGCAGGCUGAAGAGGGAGCUAUUUUUUUCAGAGAUCUGCGCAUUCCCCCUGUGAGGGAGGCUGACAAGGACCAUGGAACUCAACCAUUGUACGCACAUGCAAAGCUCUUUCAAUUUCAUCAUCUCAUCCCACCAUCACAACGCUGGGAGAUCAGUUAGGUGCCACUCAGCCACCCGCGCUGGGAUUUGACUCAACCUAUUCCAGUGGUACCACCAACACCGGACAGCACUCACAGAGAAGCUAUUGCAGGUCUGAUGAAGCAGAGAUGAGACUCACAGAAGACAGCUGCUGCUUUGCCCUGUGACCGAGGUCCUCCGCAAUCAUUGCUGCUCUGCUUACAGAAUUAUUAUCAUGGUGAAAGGAAAGAGUGCUUUCCAAAGUGUGAAGAGUUAUGUAGUGAUUGUUUAUCCCUUCCAUGUGGGCUGGGAGUAGUCAGGGAGGGUCAAUUUGCUGUCCACAUUCAGCAUAAAAAUAGCUCCAAUGUGCUAAAAAUAUUUGUCAUCCACACAGAGAAAUCUGCAAGUCCUCACCACGGAGCCUUGAAAAGGAGGUCACAGAAAUAUCUGGAGCAAAGGACUUCCUCUCACUUGUCUCACCUAAUAGCAAUCUUAGAAUAAGGGUUUCUCACUGCUAGGCCAAGAUCUGGGUUUUUGCAUUUUUGCACCAGAUUUUGUUCUGUGUUCUGCUUACUCUGCUUAAAUGCAUGUGCAAAUGAGGCACUCAACAUCACUCCCCAUGAACCCAAGAUUCUUCUGGGCACGUUGGCACAUCAUCAUACCCAGGGGGACAGUUCGGACUCCUCUUGUCAGGUGUUGCUUAUUCGUCAUCAAAUUUGCCAGAGCCUCCCAGGUGCCAUUCCCACCCAAUGCUACCGUUCUGCACAGAGGUCCUGUUUGGUGCUGUGCCACUCUUGACCUUUUUCUCUCCUAGUAGUGGUUUAGUUUGUGAUGGGUUAAACAAUUCCUUUUUAAUAAUUGUAAAUGACUUCUAUUUAUAUUUGCUUUUUUGAAAGACAUUUUAGUUACUG